GGUGCCCUCAGGUGGACGCCCCCCGCCGGGGCUGUUUGAUCCAGUUCGAGGACAAUUCCCAGUUUUUCGUUCUCUGGAAAGACAUCAGCCCGGCGGCCGUGCCCGGGGACGACCCCUCGUGCUGCGUCUGCGCCGGGAAUUCCC
Pyrgilauda ruficollis (rufous-necked snowfinch) is the source of this 144-nucleotide long non-coding RNA. RefSeq lists it as uncharacterized. The record is from RefSeq and is a predicted model, not a curated record. NCBI's taxonomy places the organism in Eukaryota, Metazoa, Chordata, Aves, Passeriformes, Passeridae. The transcript is spliced from 2 exons.